GAAGUCAAAUAAAGACUAGAAAAACAAAUGGCUAUCUUCUUGUUCAUGCCAAUGGUGGACUGAAUCAAAUGAGAACAGGAAUUUGUGAUAUGGUUGCUGUUGCAAAGAUUAUGAAUGCAACUCUUGUCUUACCUUCUCUCGAUCAUGACUCAUUUUGGACUGAUCCAAGCACUUUUAAAGACAUUUUUGACUGGAGACACUUUAUGGAAGGGUUAAAGGAUGAUGUCGAUAUAGUAGAGUAUUUGCCACCUAAAUAUGCAGCAAAGAAACCCCUUUUAAAGGCUCCUAUCUCCUGGUCUAAGGCUAGUUACUACAGAGGUGAGAUGGCCUCCUUGUUAAAAAAGCACAAGGUGAUAAAGUUUACCCACACUGAUUCUAGACUAGCUAACAAUGGCCUUGCAGCCUCCAUUCAGAGGCUAAGGUGCCGUGUCAAUUAUGAGGCUCUCCAGUACUCAAAGGAGAUUGGGGAUCUUGGCAAGAUAUUGGUUGAUAGACUAAGGAAUAAUGGCGAGCCUUAUAUUGCUCUGCAUUUAAGGUAUGAGAAAGACAUGCUUUCAUUCACUGGCUGUAAUCACAAUCUUACAUCAGAAGAGGCCGAGGAACUCAGUGAUAUGAGGUACAAAGUCCAACAUUGGAAGGAGAAGGAGAUAGAUAGCAAAGAAAGGCGACUGCAGGGUGGAUGUCCAAUGUCUCCCAGAGAAGCAGCCCUGUUUCUAAAGGGUAUGGGAUACCCUUCCUCUACAACUAUCUACAUAGUUGCAGGAAAAAUAUAUGGUAGCAAUAGCUUGGCAGCCUUCCGAGCAGAGUUCCCAAACGUUUUUACUCAUUCUACUCUAGCAACCACAGAAGAGUUAGAACCGUUCAAGCCAUAUCAGAAUCGCUUAGCUGCCUUGGAUUAUAUUGUGGCACUUGAAAGUGAUGUCUUUGUUUAUACAUAUGAUGGAAAU
Molecule: unclassified non-coding RNA, 947 nt
Filed under: Hevea brasiliensis (rubber tree)
Lineage: Eukaryota; Viridiplantae; Streptophyta; Magnoliopsida; Malpighiales; Euphorbiaceae
Source: RNAcentral